CCUACGGGAGGCUGCAGUGGGGAAUAUUGGACAAUGGGCGAAAGCCUGAUCCAGCCAUGCCGCGUGUGUGAAGAAGGCCUUCGGGUUGUAAAGCACUUUCAGUGGGGAAGAAAGCCUUGGGGCUAAUACCCUCGAGGAAGGACAUCACCCACAGAAGAAGCACCGGCUAACUCCGUGCCAGCAGCCGCGGUAAUACGGAGGGUGCGAGCGUUAAUCGGAAUUACUGGGCGUAAAGCGCGCGUAGGCGGUCUGAUAAGCCGGUUGUGAAAGCCCCGGGCUCAACCUGGGAACGGCAUCCGGAACUGGCAGGCUAGAGUGCAGGAGAGGAAGGUAGAAUUCCCGGUGUAGCGGUGAAAUGCGUAGAGAUCGGGAGGAAUACCAGUGGCGAAGGCGGCCUUCUGGACUGACACUGACGCUGAGGUGCGAAAGCGUGGGUAGCAAACAGGAUUAGAUACCCUAGUAGUC
This 465-nucleotide ribosomal RNA is filed under the name Vreelandella stevensii. RNAcentral describes it as "partial 16S ribosomal RNA". It matches the Rfam family "Bacterial small subunit ribosomal RNA", at positions 338 to 795 of the family's 1533-position model. The record is from RNAcentral. Lineage: Bacteria; Pseudomonadati; Pseudomonadota; Gammaproteobacteria; Oceanospirillales; Halomonadaceae.